RNAcentral lists this ribosomal RNA (690 nucleotides) under uncultured bacterium. RNAcentral's name for it is "bacterial SSU rRNA". It matches the Rfam family "Bacterial small subunit ribosomal RNA", at positions 46 to 737 of the family's 1533-position model. The record is from RNAcentral.
GCCUAAUGCAUCCCAGGUAUAGCGAGGCUCUCGGGUCGAGCAAUCGACCCGGGAGACCUAGCGCCGAACUCUUGAGUAACACGUGAGCAACCUGCCCCGAAGAUCGGGAUAGCCCGGGGAAACCCGGAUUAAUACCGGAUACCCUCCGCGGACCGCAUGGCCUGCGGAGGAAAGGGUCCACCGCUUCGGGAUGGGCUCGCGGCCUAUCAGCUCGUUGGUGGGGUAACGGCCCACCAAGGCGACGACGGGUAGCUGGCGUGAGAGCGUGGCCAGCCACACUGGGACUGAGACACGGCCCAGACUCCUACGGGAGGCAGCAGCAGGGAAUCUUGCGCAAUGGGCGAAAGCCUGACGCAGCGACGCCGCGUGGGGGAUGAAGGCCUUCGGGUUGUAAACCCCUUUCAGGAGGGACGAAGCGAGAGUGACGGUACCUCCAGAAGAAGCCCCGGCCAACUACGUGCCAGCAGCCGCGGUAAUACGUAGGGGGCGAGCGUUGUCCGGAUUUAUUGGGCGUAAAGAGCUCGUAGGCGGCUCAGCGAGUCGGCCGUGAAAACCCGGGGCUCAACCCCGGGCCGCCGGUCGAUCUGCUGUGGCUAGAGUGCGGUAAAGGGGGGUGGAAUUCCCGGUGUAGCGGUGAAAUGCGCAGAUAUCGGGAGGAACACCGAUGGCGAAGGCAGCCCCCUGGGCCGG